GAUGAACGCUGGCGGCGUGCCUAAUACAUGCAAGUCGAGCGAACGGACGAGAAGCUUGCUUCUCUGAUGUUAGCGGCGGACGGGUGAGUAACACGUGGAUAACCUACCUAUAAGACUGGGAUAACUUCGGGAAACCGGAUCUAAUACCGGAUAAUAUUUUGAACCGCAUGGUUCAAAAGUGAAAGACGGUCUUGCGGUCACUUAUAGAUGGAUCCGCGCUGCAUUAGCUAGUUGGUAAGUUAACGGCUUACCAAGGCAACGAUGCACAGCCGACCUGAGAGGGUGAUAGGCCACACUGGAACUGAGACACGGUCCAGGCUCCUACGGGAGGCAGCAGUAGGGAAUCUUACGCAAUGGGCGAAAGCCUGACGGAGCAACGCCGCGUGAGUGAUGAAGGUCUUCGGAUCGUAAAACUCUGUUAUUAGGGAAGAACAUAUGUGUACGUAACUGUGCACAUCUUGACGGUACCUAAUCAGAAAGCCACGGCUAACUACGUG
RNAcentral lists this ribosomal RNA (497 nucleotides) under uncultured bacterium. RNAcentral's name for it is "partial 16S ribosomal RNA". It matches the Rfam family "Bacterial small subunit ribosomal RNA", at positions 28 to 507 of the family's 1533-position model. The record is from RNAcentral.